AAGACACAGGACGAGCAGAUCUGAAAGAGAUGGAGACUAGCACUCUCAGUAAGAACUCUCAGAUGGAAAGGAAAUGAGGCCAGCCAUGGCAGGCAGGAUCUCCAAACAGGACAAGACCAAAAUCCAGGAAAGCCUCCCAUGUCCCCACUCUCAGUGAAAUCAGAACAGCUGAACUGCUUUUUCUGCUAAAAAAAAAAAAAAAAAUCAACUAGUAGAGUAAGUCUGAAAACAGAUCCAGAAUGGAAAAGCAGUGUGAAGCACUACAUGGCUAUUGUGAACAUACCCCCCCCCCCCGCUAGUCAACUUGGAUCUCAAUGAACUAUGAGCAACCUGUGUGUUUUAAUUUUGCUUUUAACUUUAUGUUAUCUGUAUAGAUUUUUUGCCUGCUGGUGUGUCAGAACACACAUGUAUCCAGUGUCCACAGAGUCCAGAGGGGGCGUGGGAUCUUCCAGCUCUGAAGUUACACAAAAUCGUUAGCUACCAAGUAGGUGCUGAGACUAGAACCCAGGUCCUUGGGAAAAGAAGCUAAUACCCGUAACCACUGAGCCACCUCUCCAGCCCCAAGAAAGAGCAAUUUUUUAAACAUUAAAUAUUUUGUGACUGCUUUUUUUACUCACUUCAAAGCUUCCUCAAAUUUAUGGAUCUUCCUCUGAGCAUCUUCCUUCUCUUUAUCAAGUUCACUCUGCAGUUCAUGAACCUACAUGAAAGAAUUCGUGAAAUUAACUGGAAGAUAAGGAUACUCAAAAAUACCAAAAGUACCAACAACAAUCUCAAAUCUGUUGUGAUAUGAAUUCAGAAAUACGUAUUUCAUGAUAGAAAGUUGCUUAUCCAUAGAAUAAUUUCAAUAUUCUACUCCCAAUAUUAAUUUUCAGUUCAACACUAGUAAUUAGAUUGUUUUUAAAAAGACUUGGUAUACAUCAACUUCACAAAGCACCAAUCACUUUGACAAAGGAAAGAAAUUCCACAUGCUUGAGAAGACUAGGAUAAAUACUGUGUCUGCAUUGACCAGCUAUAGAGCAGCUAUUAUAAAAUCUUCCUUCACUAAGCAUGAUUUGUGUAUCCAUUGAUCAAGUUUGGUGCAAACUCCUCCAUCCAGGUUGCCUCCUUCCUGCAUGUAGCAACCCUUGAAUGGGUGGAUGACGGCACCAACCACGAAAGCGAAGAAAAUGUUCUUCACAUAUCCAAAACUGCAGUAUGGACACUCAUGUGCACAUGAUGGCGAUCAUAAAAUAUGGAAAAGAAAUUUUGAACAGCUGGACAGAAAGGGAAAAGUGAAUGCCUUAUAUUUGUAGCCACACUGCUAGUAAGGCUGCAGAGCCUCCCUGAGGGUUAAGAAAGCACUCCACUUGGUAUGUGACAAACCACUUAGACCUGCUGGCCACCACCAUAGGACUGAAUAUGAAUCUGCUGAACAGUGAGGCAAGAAAGAAUGACAAGAAGCGCAUAUCACACACGCACACACAUGCACAUCACACACACACACACACACACACACACUCUAAAACCAUGCCACACACUGCAUCAGGACUAGGCAAAAGAAGAUUUUUAAAAAUAAGUUUGGUUGGACCUAAUUAAAAUCCCACAUAUUUUUGGCCUUUCUUUUUUAUAAUUAUUUUGCAUUUUUCCCUUUGUAUAAAGCAAAUAAAUUAGUAAAAUCAACAAUAUUCUUUUAAACUAGUAGUAAGGCUGGAGAGGCAAGUUUUCACGAUAAUAUCAAAAAGCCUUUCCAGUUUCUCAGCUGGCAAACCACUAAAUCAAGACAAAACUGGGAGGCAGAGAAGACAAUGCAUACUGAGGCGGUGACUGGCCAGGAGAAUGAGCAGACACAAGCCCCACUUCUUGGCACUGUAAUGAUCAACUUAUUAUAUGUCAUAAAUACUAUUUUCUUAUGAUGAGAAGGAUCAUCUCACCUUGAAAUUUUUUACUAAUAAAUUUAUUUUACUCUACGUAGGAAAAGCAGUCUUUUCACAAUUUACCAGGCUCAGACUUCAACUCCUAUCUUACUUCUUAUAGAUCCUUGAUAGGUAUUACUCUGCUUGGCAUAGUGUGAGAAUCUUAAAUUGGAAUAGAAACAAACUUUACUCAUUAUUUGGAGGCAGAAAGCAACUUUAUCUAGAAAGACAGGAUAAGUUUCAAUGGCCAUCUCCCUACUUCUCAAGUUAUUUAGCAUGUGUGUCUCAGUCCUCUCUACAAAUGGGAUGGUAAAGUGAAUUACUUCAGGCAAGGUUCUUGUGAAUACUAGAACAUAAAAAAAUUCUCAAUGUUAAACAUUACAGCUACAGAGUCAAAUAGAACACUAUAUGUAUCUCUCGAUUACAUAAGGUCAUUAUGAAUAACAGCCAUGAUAACAAUAUACAAGGCUGACUGCCCUUGCAGAAAGCAGCCCCUGGAUGCCAACCAUUCUGAGUUCUUGUAAGUGCUCUGUAUUGCUCACUACCCAAUCUUAGCUUGUUUCAAGAUUCAGUUCUACUACUUAGUGAAUUUAAGUAGUUAAUGAGUGGCACCUUAAUAAAAGUAAUUCUUUCUAAGAAUAUCUGUUUCAUUUCUGAAGGGGAGAGGGAACUCUCAGGGUGGGGAAGAAGGACUCCCCUCUAGUCAAGAAGGCAUGCACUGAUACACACUCUGGUUAGCUGUUUCUCACUUAUGCUGCUAAGUGCCCAGCAUCCCUGAACCACACUACAGCAGUCAUUAAGGGAUGUUCUGGGUUUGUUUCCUCUUGACAGAAUAUUUUAGUAUUGCAUGCUUGAGAUUCCUUUUAAAUUAUGGCUUUGUCUUGAUCUAUAUUUCAUAUAUUUGUCGGUAAUAUAUAAUUAAAUGCCAUGCAAGUAAUCAAUGCAUACUGAUUUUGAUGGAAGACUACAACUUAUUAUUUGUGUUUUAAUAUUAUAUAAAUUAUUUUUACAUAAAAGAUAAAUAAAAAACAACAAAAAGAUGAUGCUACUGCCU
RNAcentral lists this long non-coding RNA (2946 nucleotides) under Mus caroli (Ryukyu mouse). Its description in RNAcentral is "centrosomal protein 112, opposite strand 1 (MGP_CAROLIEiJ_G0002733.1)". The record is from RNAcentral. Lineage: Eukaryota; Metazoa; Chordata; Mammalia; Rodentia; Muridae.